RNAcentral lists this long non-coding RNA (778 nucleotides) under Felis catus (domestic cat). Its description in RNAcentral is "lncRNA (ENSFCAG00000046797.1)". The record is from RNAcentral. Lineage: Eukaryota; Metazoa; Chordata; Mammalia; Carnivora; Felidae.
CCUAUAUGCCAGACAUUGCGCUACCUGGGCAGUCAUAAAACAUAAAAAUACUUUGUAGAUUAUAAGGCUUUUGUACAAAAUCCUUUAUAAACUAGAAGGUGUCUUACGUGAUUUUUUUCCCUCCGCUUUCUUCACGUCUCCCAGUCUGGAUACACUCAAGUUUGCCCUAUGACACAUCCUGCAACUCAUUGUACUCUGAAGCCCUCAUUUAAACUACAACACAUGGCAGCCAUCAAGAACAAUGGUUUCCUCUUACCUCUUGGAUCUUUCUUCUGACUUCUCCUCGUCCUGGCUCAGGAACUCACCUCCACUCCCAGAACCACCUGUCUGGUUUCCCUGCCUCUAGGCCUGCCCUGCCAACCAGUGUGAUAUUUCUUAGAGAGAAAUCGGAUCCUGCCUCAAGUCUACAAAUGUGAUGUGAGUUGACAGGAUAAAACCUAAUUAGGCUCCUUAGUUAGAUAUAGAAUGCUGCUUCUAACCUGGCUGUCCAUGACCUCAAACACUAUCCUCAGUAGCACCCCUUUAAAGUCUGCAGCAUAGAACCAUUUGUAGUUCCAGUGUUGGAGAACUAGGCUGCUUAUACAUCGUCAGCAUACGUGUAGUCCCUCUACUCUAGAAUGUAGGUUACGAUUGCUUGUGUGGCUGUCUCCCACCACAGGGCAAUCUCCUGGAGGGCAGGGAUCUUGCUUGCCCCCUUAUAUCUCAGUGUUUAGUAUGACACCUUAUAGUUGGACAAAAAGUUAAUAAAUGUAAGCAGCUCCAGAAAAUAGAUUGAUGU